AUUUUUUAAAAGCUGUUCCCAUAUGAAGGUUGAGGUGGACCUUUGGUUGAGAAUUAAAAACUAGUGUUUAUAACAAAGAGGUAAACAUCGAAAAGUGAGCACAGAAUCCUAAAGUCCUCACAUGCCAGGAAGAAAGCGAAAGCAAUUCAGACAGGGACAGCUCCCGGCUCCCGACCAAGCAAUAAUAUUGUAAUGAUCAAGGGGAGCAUGUGGUUUUUUUUAAGUAUUUCCUGAGAGUACAUCUGAACAAAUCUCAUUUGAGUGACUGUAGAUCUCACUGAGUGUUCAGAAGGUUGAUUCCUUCAGCUCUGUGUCAUUUGCAACAACAACAAAAAAACCAUCAUCUAUAUAUCUUCUCCAUCAGUAGAAAAUCCGUCUUCAAUAGAACUUUGUGCAAGACAACCACCAUGAUGCUCAUAAACAACAAGACAAUGGACAUAGUGGUAGCAUAGGUUUUUAUACUUCUCAGACAACUGUUGGAUGGGAUGUUUUUGGAGGAUUUAUGA
Molecule: long non-coding RNA, 506 nt
Filed under: Phascolarctos cinereus (koala)
Lineage: Eukaryota; Metazoa; Chordata; Mammalia; Diprotodontia; Phascolarctidae
Description: lncRNA (ENSPCIG00000006311.2)
Source: RNAcentral